UGAAGCGGCAAAAGCUCCAUUUUGAAAGCUCUUCGGAGCGUUGUAGAUUGGUGGGAAGCUAACGGCUGGUGGGAGACCAAGUCCUCUGGAACGAGGCGCCAUAGAGGGUGAGAGCCCCGUGUGUCUCCUUUACCGACCUUUCAGCCCCCUCCGCGGAGUCGAGUUGUUUGGGAAUGCAGCUCUAAGUGGGUGGUAAAUUCCAUCUAAGGCUAAAUAUUGGCGAGAGACCGAUAGCGAACAAGUACAGUGAUGGAAAGAUGAAAAGCACUUUGAAAAGAGAGUGAAACAGUACGUGAAAUUGUUGAAAGGGAAGGGUAUUUGGCCCGACAUGGGUCCUAUGCACCGUUGCCUCUCGUGGGCGGCGCUCUGCUUGGGCCUGGGCCAGCGUCAGUUUGGAGGGGGCGAGAAGGGUUUUGGGGAGUUGCCUAGCAAUUCCCCUUUGCUAGAUUGCCCCACACCGGACUGAGGACCGCCAUCUGUAGGAUGCUGGCACAACGGCCAAAUACCGCCCGUCUUGAACCACGGACCAAA
RNAcentral lists this ribosomal RNA (531 nucleotides) under Saturnispora silvae. RNAcentral's name for it is "LSU rRNA". It matches the Rfam family "Eukaryotic large subunit ribosomal RNA", at positions 94 to 670 of the family's 3401-position model. The record is from RNAcentral. Lineage: Eukaryota; Fungi; Ascomycota; Pichiomycetes; Pichiales; Pichiaceae.